UGGGCCCAGGGUGCGUAACACGUGGGUAAUCUGCCGCGAAGCCUGGAAUAACCCCGAGAAAUCGGGGCUAAUGCCGGAUGUGACUGCCGGAGGGCCUCCUCUGGUAUUCAAAGUCGGGGACCGCAAGGCCUGACGCUUCGCGAUGAGCCCGCGGCCUAUCAGGUAGUUGGUGGGGUAACGGCCUACCAAGCCUAAGACGGGUAGCUGGUCUGAGAGGACGACCAGCCACACUGGAACUGAGACACGGUCCAGACACCUACGGGUGGCAGCAGUCGAGAGUUUUUCACAAUGGGCGCAAGCCUGAUGGAGCGACGCCGCGUGGGGGAUGAAUGGCUUCGGCCCGUAAACCCCUGUCAUUCGCGAUCAAACCGCGCUAUUUAAAAGAUGGCGCGCUGAUAGUAGCGGAAGAGGAAGGGACGGCUAACUCUGUGCCAGCAGCCGCGGUAAUACAGAGGUCCCAAGCGUUGUUCGGAUUCACUGGGCGUAAAGGGUGCGUAGGCGGCCGGGUAAGUCUGACGUGAAAUCCCGUGGCUCAACCGCGGAACGGCGUCGGAUACUAUUCGGCUGGAGAGUUGGAGGGGGGACUGGAAUUCUCGGUGUAGCAGUGAAAUGCGUAGAGAUCGAGAGGAACACCUGUGGCGAAGGCGAGUCCCUGGACAACUUCUGACGCUGAGGCACGAAAGCCAGGGGAGCAAACGGGAUUAGAUACCCCGGUAGUCCUGGCCUUAAACGGUGCACGUUUGCUGUAAGCGGAAUCGACCCCGUUUGUGGCGAAGCUAACGCGUUAAACGUGCCGCCUGGGAAGUACGGCCGCAAGGUUAAAACUCAAGAAAUUGACGGGGCCUGCACAGCGGUGGAGUAUGUGGCUCAAUUCG
Molecule: ribosomal RNA, 875 nt
Filed under: uncultured bacterium
Lineage: Bacteria
Description: bacterial SSU rRNA
Rfam family: Bacterial small subunit ribosomal RNA
Source: RNAcentral